GACAGAGGGUGCAAACGUUGUUCGGAAUUACUGGGCGUAAAGCGCGUGUAGGCGGCCCUGCAAGUCGGAUGUGAAAUCCCACGGCUCAACCGUGGAAGUGCAUUCGAAACUGCAGGGCUAGAGUCCUGGAGAGGAAGGUGGAAUGCUUGGUGUAGAGGUGAAAUUCGUAGAUAUCAAGCGGAACACCGGUGGCGGAGGCGGCCUUCUGGACAGUGACUGACGCUGAGACGCGAAAGCGUGGGGAGCAAACAGG
RNAcentral lists this ribosomal RNA (253 nucleotides) under uncultured bacterium. Its description in RNAcentral is "partial 16S ribosomal RNA". It matches the Rfam family "Bacterial small subunit ribosomal RNA", at positions 524 to 776 of the family's 1533-position model. The record is from RNAcentral.